GGAAAGUGCAGCACAUCACACUCCAGGGGACCAACGACUGUUCCCUCCCACAGUCACAGCUCCAUCUGCAGUGACUGCUGGACUUGGUCACCAGAAGCUCUUCAUCCCAAAAUUCUGUUUCUUUGAAAUUGGUGGGUGGGAGGUGGGGUGAGGUGGGGCUUGGGUGGUUCUUCAUCAUUUUUCUCUUUCCUCUUGCAGCUCCAGUUUAUCCAUUGUGGAAGGUCUCAGCCAGCCUCUCACCAGAAGAAAUUGCUGAUUGGAAAGCAGUGCCACCUGGUGAGAGACAGGGACAGUGCAAGCAAACAGACGUUAUUUCCUACUGACCUAAUUUAGAGAAAAUUAAGCGUUAGAGAGAAAACAUUUAUGAUUGUUAAGUCUGUGCCAAGAUCUUUAAAGAAUGCAGGCAGCUGGCCAUAAAAUCAGUUUUGAGUAGUCUCUCUGAGCCAUUGUGAUCCCAGUGGUGUAGAAAGUAUAUAAACAUCCCAAAGGCAUUGAUAGUACUUUACAGUUUGCAUUGCACUUUCUUCUGUGUUCAUUUGGUCACCACACCUGUGAAGGGGAUGGGUGACCAAAUCUGUCUUACAGGUUAGGGAUUCAGGGUUCAGGGAGAUCAAGUGGUGCAGACAACGCCAUUGAUGAAGGCUGGACCCCCAACUUCAAUAUCUGCUUCUUUACUGGAACAAGUGCAGUGACUUUUAAGGCUGUAGGACCCACAGAACUAACAACCUCUGGAUUCCUAAGAGAGGGCUGGGCCACAUCCUAAUCAAGUAGGGUGUCUCUGAAGGGUUUCUUCAAAUGGUUGUGGGGAAAAGUUUCCAGAAUUAGGAAACCUUAGGUCUUUCAGAACUGAACUUUAAGCAUUUAUCCAUGUCAGGUAAAUUCAAGGAGUAUCAGUGCUGUCUAUAUUGAAGGUUUAAACAUGCACAGAUACCCUCUGUUGGAAAACAGCUUGGCUCUACAGAGGUUUUUAUUAUCCCUGUGUGUCUUAAGCAUGCAGUGACGAUCCCAUUAGUUGGAAGACUUCAGAAAUGAAGCAGUGGUGCAAGCAGAAAGAAAAAGUACUGAUACCAUAAAGCUCCAACAUUCACAUACGUUUUUCCCAAGCACCUUUCUAUCCACCCACCUCCCAAAGAAAAUCUCCGAAGCAAAGAAUGAUGGUGGAAGUAGCCCUCAUGAAGAAACAGUAACAAUCACCCAAGCGGCUUGUUGAGUGCUAAGAGUGCCACCAGAUGACUUAAUAGUUAAUGAAAAGCUCCACUUUGCUAGCAUGUCGAAGUUAGGUCAUAGUCAUUAUAUGAAAUUGACUGAUUCUGAGUGCCUUCAUAAAAAUCAACUUUUACAAGAAGAGGCAGUAUGACUUGUGAUUUUGUUCCCAAACCCUACCCACUCAAAUGUGACCUUUCUCAGGCUGAUUUACAGAAUGGGCAUAAUAACACUUUGUGGAGUGGAUUAAAUCUGCCAAGUAUAUAAGCACUAAAUGUCUGACACAUAGUAGGCUCUUAAUGUGUGUGUGUGUGUGUGUGUGUACACACUGGGAAUCAAACCUAGGGCCUCACACAUGCUAGGCAAGGGCUCCACCACUGAGCUGUGGCUCCUUCCCCCACACACACACCCAUGUCUCCUCCGUGAAUUUGUAAAGGUAGGUAUCACUUGAAUGUCGAUGAUAGGCCAUUCGCUUGGCUCAUUUCAGCCUCAUAAUAUCCCUGUGAGGUAGGUGCUGUACCCCAUAUUAUAGUUAGGGAUCUUUGGGCACAAAGAUUAACAGCUAAGUGUCCAAGGGCACAGAGCAGUUAAACCCAGGUAGUGUGGCUUUAGGCUGCUGCUCCACAUCUCCUUUGUGUCAGGUUUUAUCUGUCACUGGGGUACAGUCAGCCUUGCACUGGAAUCAGGCAGGCCCUGCCUUGGACAUGAUCAUCUGGAACAACUGGCUUUCCUGGGUCUUUCAUCUCAUCUGAAAGCUACAUGGAUCUCUGAAGUCCCCUAGAGUUCCAAAGUUCUGUGAUUUGAAGCUUGCUUAUUCACUUUAAAUUAUUUUUCAAGGUUUAUGAUUCUUUAGCUUCUUUUUGUUUUGAUGGAAUUGAAGUCCUCUUCUGGUGUGGUCAGGAGCACAAACCCCAACUCUGUUAAGGGCUGUGAGACAGGACAGUGUGUUCAGGCCUUGAGAGAAGACUGAAAUUAGCCAGUCGGUCACUAGGUGGCAGCAUAAGCGAAGCGCUAGCUGCACUUGGCUGUCAGCUGCUGGAGCAGUUUCGGUUCCAUCUUCAUUUUGCUCUUCACUGCUGUAUUGAUAUAGUUUUCAUGGGGGCGGGCUGGGGGGUAGCCAGUUAAACAGUGCUCAUAAAUAUGAAUCAUGCUGAAGGAUGUGGGGCUCAGGUCAGGAAAUUAUAUGAAGUUUUGGAACACAAGUACUGCUUUUGCCCUGUAACAUCCAAGUUGAAUAAUUGUGACAAACAAGGUGUGGCCCUCAAAACCUAAAAUAUUUACUGCCUGUCCCUUUACAGGAAAUAAAAACUCACCAAUCCCUGACAUCUUCCUUAAGUAAAGAGGCACUUCCCAUUGUCUUUAAAGUCCUAUUCUGUGAUUAGGAAUUUGCACCCUCCUUUUUGGUAGUGUUUUCUUAGCACAAAAACAGCGUUGCUUAAGUUACUGGUACUUGCAAACAUUAGCUGGGAGCACAGCCUAGUGAGGGCCACCACCAGCUACAUCAUAGUGACAUGCCCGCAGGUCACCAAGAUGAGAGGUUAAUGCUGCCUGUGGAAAAUUGCCAAGGAUUUCCAAAGGACACAUCGUGUGCCAAAAGGAAGAAGGGAAAUUUUUCCUUCAGAGUGGGGAAAAAUGGCAUCAUCAAAGCUGUGUUUCUGAAAAACUCAUUAUGGGAUAUAUCCAGUAAGAGGAUGAGAAUCUAGAGAGCACUGGCAAGAGCCAGGAAGGAGCAGGCCUGGGUGUGGGUGCCAGACAGGUGAGAGUGGGAAGUGGUUGCAGAUCCUCCUUAACCAAAAGGAGCCAAGAGAAGUAGGGAUUUGGAGGGUUUGUGUUUGUUUUGUUCUUUGGCACUAGGGAUUGAACCCAGAAGUGCUGAGCUACCUCCAGGUCCUUUAUUUUAUUCUGAGACAGGGUCUUGCUAAGUUAGGGAAACUGGCCUCAAACUUGGGAUCCAGCCUCAGACUCCCAAGUCACGAGGAGAUUAUGGGUGUGAGCCAUUGCGUCUAGCUGAGAAAUAGGUUUGGAAGAGAAAGACACGA
RNAcentral lists this long non-coding RNA (3242 nucleotides) under Marmota monax (woodchuck). Lineage: Eukaryota; Metazoa; Chordata; Mammalia; Rodentia; Sciuridae. The record is from RNAcentral.